This 23-nucleotide transfer RNA is filed under the name Proctoporus pachyurus. RNAcentral's name for it is "partial tRNA-Leu". The record is from RNAcentral. Lineage: Eukaryota; Metazoa; Chordata; Lepidosauria; Squamata; Gymnophthalmidae.
CUUUUAAAGAAAACGAGCCCUCC